Molecule: non-coding RNA, 118 nt
Organism: Picea glauca (white spruce)
Lineage: Eukaryota; Viridiplantae; Streptophyta; Pinopsida; Pinales; Pinaceae
Source: Rfam
AUGUACAUACCUAUAGUGAAAUUUUAUUGGAUCCCUUUAGAAAUCUACAGUUAAGCGCGCUUUGGCUAGAGUAGUACCAGGAUGGGUGAUCUCCCGGGAAGUCCUAGUGUUUUACAUC